UUCUUCCUAAGCCCCGAUAGUUCUCAUUCUCUCUUCUCUCUUCUCUCUUCUAUCUCUUGUCUCUCGCGUCUACCUCUCUCCACCUUCCCACCUCGUCGCCUUGCCUUCGCCACGGCCAUAGACAGAGAAACUCUGUCUCUCGUGUCUCCCUCUCUCACGCUCUCUCUCUCCUUCCUCUCCUGUCUCUCUCUCCUCCCUUCUUCUAGUUUAGAGGGAUUUGGGUUUUAAUUUUAGGGUUACUGAUUUGGGUUUUAAUCUAAACCAUUUGGGUGUUGGCUUGCAGAGUGAGAGAGACAGAGACAGAUUGGAAGAGGAGGGAAUCGCAAUUGGUUUAUCAGGUUGGGGCUUUGAGAAGCUCUGCCUGCAAUUGGCGUUGUGGUUGAAACGACUCUUUCCUGGCUCGAUUUAGAAAGAAGUAAAAAUGUUCAAGAACACAUUUCAAUCCGGAUUUCUGUCAAUUCUAUACAGCCUUGGGAGCAAACCGUUGCAGAUUUGGGAUAAAGAAGGACUCGGUUUUGGCUUAACAAAAUGUAAAAGCCGUUGAUGAAAUUUUGAGAUGCUUGUUAAAUUCAACUUGUUUCAAAUAUCAAUUUGUUGAUGACCAUAUUAAAAGACCACAGGAUGAAGACAUACAAUCCAAUGUCCUUGAGAUUGGUAUGAACAUCCAGUCCACAUACAUUACUUGCCCAGCAGACCCAUCAGCUACACUUGGUAUAAAACUUCCAUUCCUGGAUAUGUUGUAAAGAAUCUGAAGAAGUAUUUCACAUUUGAGAUUCAAGUUCUGGAUGACAAGAACGUCAGGAGACGUUUUCGAGCUUCCAAUUUUCAAGUGUGUAAGUUUGCCCAUGUUUAUUGAUGUUUAUCAAUUGCAUAAUGGUUGUUUUUGUUGUUCUCUUUUCUUUUCCUUUCCGUUGGUAUUUCAGGGCAUGUUCAGGUAAGUAAUGAAGGAUGCUGCAUUUGUGUUUCUCAAAGAUGUAUCUAUUUCACUAGCAAGUCUAAGCUUCUUUUGUUGUCUCUGAAGAUCUAUGUAGUGUAAAAUUGAUCAUAUUUCAGGCCGACUUUUUUGUUACUUUUUACAGUUGCAUUAUGAGCAUAUUAAUUAACUAUGCCUGAUGUCUUGCAUUUAUUGGACAUGUAUAUACUUGAAGGGAAAAUCAUGUACCAAGGUUGUAGGGGAAUCUAGCUUCUAGAUAUGCCAUUGGCAGCUUCAGGAAUCAGGAGGAAAAAAAUUCAUUGAUGUUGACCUGAGAUUGCCUACUAUUUUGAGUCGAGCAGUGCAGGAUGCAAAACUCAUUGACCACUCCAGUAGAUUGUUGCUUAAUGAUUCGUAGUUUAGUAUAUUGUUAUUCUUCUGUCUUCUGAGUUUUAUCAGUGAACAUUUUUCAUAUUGUUGUAAUUGAACCAAUUUUGAAAUUGUAAGGUUCUAAUACUUUUCAUAUUGAAAUAUGAAUACAUCAUUGUUCUGCCUA
Molecule: long non-coding RNA, 1469 nt
Organism: Prunus persica (peach)
Lineage: Eukaryota; Viridiplantae; Streptophyta; Magnoliopsida; Rosales; Rosaceae
Exons: 4
Source: RefSeq, a predicted model, not a curated record